GGUGAACGCUGGCGGCGUGCCUAAUACAUGCAAGUCGAGCGAACGGACGAGAAGCUUGCUUUUCUGAUGUUAGCGGCGGACGGGUGAGUAACACGUGGAUAACCUACCUAUAAGACUGGGAUAACUUCGGGAAACCGGAGCUAAUACCGGAUAAUAUUUUGAACCGCAUGGUUCAAAAGUGAAAGACGGUCUUGCUGUCACUUAUAGAUGGAUCCGCGCUGCAUUAGCUAGUUGGUAAGGUAACGGCUUACCAAGGCAACGAUGCAUAGCCGACCUGAGAGGGUGAUCGGCCACACUGGAACUGAGACACGGUCCAGACUCCUACGGGAGGCAGCAGUAGGGAAUCUUCCGCAAUGGGCGAAAGCCUGACGGAGCAACGCCACGUGAGUGAUGAAGGUCUUCGGAUCGUAAAACUCUGUUAUUAGGGAAGAACAUAUGUGUAAGUAACUGUGCACAUCUUGACGGUACCUAAUCAGAAAGCCACGGCUAACUACGUG
This 497-nucleotide ribosomal RNA is filed under the name uncultured bacterium. RNAcentral describes it as "partial 16S ribosomal RNA". It matches the Rfam family "Bacterial small subunit ribosomal RNA", at positions 28 to 507 of the family's 1533-position model. The record is from RNAcentral.